GACGAACGCUGGCGGCGUGCUUAACACAUGCAAGUCGAACGGAAAGGUCCUGCUUUUGUGGGGUGCUCGAGUGGCGAACGGGUGAGUAACACGUGAGUAACCUGCCCUUGACUUUGGGGUAUCUUCAGGACACUGGGGCUAAUACCGGAUAGGAGCUCCUGCUGCAUGGUGGGGGUUGGAAAGUUUAGGCGGUUGGGGAUGGACUCGCGGCUUAUCAGCUUGUUGGUGGGGUAGUGGCUUACCAAGGCUUUGACGGGUAGCAGAGCUGCGAGGGGGACCGGCCACAUUGGGACUGAGAUACGGCCCAGACUCCAACGGGAGGCAGCAGUGGGGAGUAUUGUACAAUGGGCGGAAGCAUGAUGCAGCAACGCCGCGUGCGGGAUGACGGCCUUCGGUUUGUAAACCGAUGUCGCCUGUGACGAAGCGUGAGUGACAGUAAUGGGUAAAGAAGCACCGGCUAACUACGUG
RNAcentral lists this ribosomal RNA (468 nucleotides) under uncultured bacterium. RNAcentral's name for it is "partial 16S ribosomal RNA". It matches the Rfam family "Bacterial small subunit ribosomal RNA", at positions 28 to 507 of the family's 1533-position model. The record is from RNAcentral.